RNAcentral lists this ribosomal RNA (465 nucleotides) under uncultured bacterium. Its description in RNAcentral is "partial 16S ribosomal RNA". It matches the Rfam family "Bacterial small subunit ribosomal RNA", at positions 28 to 507 of the family's 1533-position model. The record is from RNAcentral.
GACGAACGCUGGCGGCGUGCUUAACACAUGCAAGUCGAACGGAAAGGCCCUGCUUGCAGGGUACUCGAGUGGCGAACGGGUGAGUAACACGUGGGUGAUCUGCCCUGCACUUCGGGAUAAGCCUGGGAAACUGGGUCUAAUACCGGAUAGGAGCCAUCUUUAGUGUGAUGGUUGGAAAGUUUUUUCGGUGUAGGGUGAGCUCGCGGCCUAUCAGCUUGUUGGUGGGGUAAUGGCCUACCAAGGCGGCGACGGGUAGCCGGCCUGAGAGGGUGGACGGCCACAUUGGGACUGGGAUACGGCCCAGACUCCUACGGGGGGCAGCGGUGGGGAAUAUUGCACAAUGGGCGCAAGCCUGAUGCAGCGACGCCACGUGGGGGAUGACGGCCUUCGGGUUGUAAACUCCUUUCGCUAGGGACGAAGCUUUUUGUGACGGUACCUAGAUAAGAAGCACCGGCUAACUACGUG